This is an RNA transcript of Phacochoerus africanus (Common warthog), 4959 nucleotides long. It is a transcript of the gene named chromosome 10 C4orf51 homolog, with no coding region annotated. NCBI's taxonomy places the organism in Eukaryota, Metazoa, Chordata, Mammalia, Artiodactyla, Suidae. The transcript is spliced from 9 exons. The record is from RefSeq and is a predicted model, not a curated record.
AUAUACCCUGUAGUGUGUCAGCCUCACUUUAAAAUACUUUAAAUUCAGCUCCUGAAUUUCAAAGAUCGAUGCCUCAUAUAACUGUAGAAAUAUGUUGAUUCCGGGGCUUUUCCUCAGACCUAUAGUCUGUGGCAGGGGAGGAUGAGGCUUCUGCAGGUUUAAUAUGUCCCGUGGGUGCUGAUGCCAACACCUAUGGAGAUGAUGGGUCUAGCUUGUAAGUCCGGACUUUUGUAUUUACAAAGAAUCCCAAAGUUUAUGUGAAUGAGCACAGAGGGUUGAAAACUUCUGAGAAUUGAUAAAGGACAAGUGUAGAACACUCAAUUUUGAUUUGCUGCUGAAUUGUUUAUUAAUGCGGAGAAGGACAGGCAACAUAUUAACCAGGUUUAGAGUAAUUAUUAGUGAAGGAUGGAGGGAAGCAGACGAACAGAAGACUGAACAUUACAAUUUCUCAACCGAAAAAAAGGUUCACAGUGGUAUUUCAAUGACCUCAAUUCUUUGCCCUGGCUUCUCUUUAGAACCUUCCAAGAGUAAGCUUUUAAAAGUUACCAAAUCCUGGGCCCUGCUCCAUAUCAAUUAAAUCAGAAUCUAUGGGGGCAGGGGAUGGGGUGUUUAUUUUACCAGCUCCUGAGGUGACUUUCAUGUGCCACCAGCUUCAGCACCAUUGCUCUGUGACAUAUGAGAAGUUGUUUGAGUCACCUGCUAUUGUUGACAUCAUAAGCAGGGCUUGUUUGCCUCCAGAUCCUUGGAGGCCAGGAAAUGAAUGUUUGGCACUGUCCUUUUAUCUCUUGUUCCACCUCUUAAACCGCUGUGAUUAGGAUUCGCUGUUUUGUUUAAAGCGGUUGCCACCUGUUUUCUCGCCAUCAUUUGUAGCAGUAUAUUGCUUAGAGCCAAAGCCAGAAAGUUAUAUAACUUCUAAAUGUGCUAGUUAUAAUGGGGGAGGGGGAUGGGACUAGUAUUUGUGGAAUUUUGUGGCCUGUUGCUUGGCAACUUUAAGAGAGUUAAGCUUCUGCCUUCUGUGAACUGUCAGAGUUACAUAGUUUGGUGAGCCCGGUCAGUUACUUCUUGCUACAGAAAGGAAAUUAAUUCUUCAUCAUGGAGAGGGCUUGAAAAGUCAUCAUUCAGAGCAGGCCAUCUUUAGCCAUGUCACACUUCUUCUACUUGACGCCACAAAUUCUUCUGCCCUUCAGCCCUCUUACUUCUCAGGAGUUUGAUGUGAUCAGACAUAAGGCUGGAGCAUCGUGGCAGAAUGAAGCAAGAUGGUCAGAUUCUUCUGUAACAACAUAUUCGGGCAGUUACCGGAAAAAACAACUGGGUGAUUCCACGUGUGGCCGACUUUCUCUUAAAGCAGGACAGCACUGGCCUGAGUGUAACCAGAUGUCACUGCCAAACUACUUCACCUGCAGGGCGGCUCUCCACAAGACCGCGGACAUUAAAGGACUAUUUCCUUCUAUAAGCGGUCCCUUUAAAAAUUCAUUUGAUAUCAAGCAUGGAGUGGCACACCAAAUUCUUUCUGGAGAUUUUUCUCCAGCACCUCCAAAUUACGAAAGACCAUAUGGGAGAAUUAAAAAGCUAACAUCCAUGGACCUGAAGAAGUACAGUCGACUAAGGAGAGACUUCCUCAAGCAUUUUCAGGAACCGUGUGAUUCUACAAGCAAGGCUAGCUCAUCUGAAGACUCACAAGCGGAUCAAUACUCCGUUUAUAGUCUGGGAGGGCCGUUCUCGACAUUUGGCUGAGUCGGAAAACGAAGCCACAGAGCUGGAGGCCCAGAGCCUGCUUAAUUACCGCCUUUGAGGGAUCUAUGAAGAACAUGUGACUGGAAAUGUCAGAUCUCACAAGGGCCACACCAGGGAGAUGCCAAUUCCAGCUCUUGGGAAGGCAUGAGGCACAUCUGCAUGAAGACGCGAGGGAAGAGGAGCGGGGGAGAAAGAGAAGAAGUCACUGAAGAAACACCAAAGGGAGGACAGUUCUUCAGCAUGAAGGAAGCUCAGCACUUCAUUCAUAGGCUUGCCUUGGGAACUUCUUCUACACAGAUUACAGGCAGACCUCAGGGACACUGCAGGUUCACUGCCAGACCACACCCAGAAGGCAAAUACUGCAAUAAGGUGAGUCACGUGGAUUUUUGGUGUCCCUGUGCACACAGAAGUUAUGUUUGCACACACUGUAGUCUAUUAAGUGUGCCAUGGCAGUAUGUGUUAAAAAACAAUGCACAUAAAUUUAAAAAUACCUUAUGGCUAAUAAUUCUAACCAGCACCUGAGCCUUCAGCAAGGUGUAAUUUCUUUGCAAUAGUAACAUCAAAGAUCACUGAUCACAGGACCACCAUAACAAAUAGAAUAAUAAUGAAUAAGGUGAAAAUAUGGCAAGAAUUACCAAAAUGGGACCCAGAAGCAGAAAGUGGGCAAAUGCUGUUGGAAAAAUGGUACCAAUAGGCUCGCUUGGUACAGGGUUCUACAACCUUCAAUUUGUAGAAAAACAAAAUCUGCAAAGCAAAAUAAGGUAAAAUGCAAUAAAACAAGGCAUGCCUGUAUUUAUGUAAGUCAGUAGACUCUAAGGUCAGGCAAAGGGCACGGUUAAGUAGUUUUCUUACUCAGCACACACACAUGAGUGUAGAAGUGCUUGCACACAUCUAUUCAUUUACGGGAUGAAGGCUUACUCCCCACCCACACUAUGCAGCCACUGGUCUGGGCACUGGAAAUACAGCAGCACCUCACAUAAGCUCCUUAUUCACAGGAAUGUGUAUUGUUGUCUGUGUUACACAGCAUAUGUAUCUUCUACAGCAUAUAUAUCCUAACUUUGCAAUUACACAGUUUGUUUGUGUUGUCGUGUUGGGGUUUUUUUUUGGCCACACCCACAGCACAUGGGAGCUACCAGGCCAAGGACUGAACCUGAGCCACAGCUGUGGCAAUGCCAGAUCCUUAACCCACUCUGCCACCAGGGAACUUCCUACAGUUUGUUAAUUAUAGAUUGAGAUGCACAUAUUUGAGGUCAAAUCCAAACUACCUCAAAGGAGCAGCUAAAUACAAGAAACCCUCACUGUGAGACUGUCAGCUUAUCACGGAGGACAGCAAACUAUAAUCCUUGGGCCAAAUCUAAUCUCAUGUUGUUGUAAAUAAAGUUUUAGUGGGACACCGCCAACCCCAUUUAUCUAUGGGCUACUUCUGAAUUCCAAUGGCAGCUGACUAGUAGUGACAAAAGCUGUAUGGCCUGAAAGCCUAAGAUAGUAAUGAACUGGCCCUUAAAAAAACAACAACAAAAAAACCCACCUUGCUAGCACCCCUGGCUUCCAAAAUAGGAUACCGUCUUACUCCCUAAGAGCAGAGCUAAAGGCUUCCACUGUGUUAAAAAAAGGAACUCUACAAUGCAUUUCACUCUUGGCUCUCUGUGCUGAAAACAAGAAGGUUCUUCCCAGCCGGACCAGGGGCCCCACCAUCUCAGCGGGGGUACGAGAUCUUCGCCGUGUCCCCUGUGGCCAUGGGGAGGUGAGUGAAUCUGCACUGAUAACGAGUGAAUGUCAAGUUUCCAGUGAUGACAGUUUGGCAAUGCCAAGUCUGACUUCUUUCCAGCUGUCAAGGUUUCUAUGGUUUCCUUGGGGUGGGGUGGGGCGGAGCUGGCUGUGGAGCUGGGAGACAGGAGGAAGGUUCUAGCCUGGGUUUGGGCAUACUUCAGGGUAAGGAGGGCUAGAAGACAGGGAGUAUAACAGAAAAGAGAGAGAGAAAAGGAAGAUCUGAAAAGCCUGCUGCACUGGAAGUGAGGCUGGCCUUUCCCAACAACGGCCACUCCAGAAAUGCUGACUUUAAUUUGUCUUCGAUGUGGGGUCCCCAGCUCACCUGCUGCUAAGGUGCUAAUGUGGUUAUGGUCAGACGACUGACUGUAAAAACGGCCCCUUUUCACUCAGCAUAACAGCUCUCUGCAGACCUGUGAGUCAUGGCUACUCAACUUAGUGACAAAAGCCAGUCUUUAUUGCUGUUGGCAUCACGGAGCCAAAGCGGCUGGUUAAAGCACGGAGAGUGGCUUCUGGGCCGUGCAUGUUGUCAACACGGCUGGCAGGGCAAUUCCACUUCCUGAGUCCUUUGAGCGCCGAGGAGGCGAGGGGCUGAGAGCUGACCUGACGCCCGGGGCCGGCAGUCAGCACCGCCGGCUCGUGACCUGUAAGCAAAAAGCAGGGGGGCGCUCCUCUUCGUUGUCGCUUAAUGACUCCCCGCUGGUGUCACUUAUAACCAUCUCGUGGGAGAGGAGGACUGUGUGGUGAAGCCAGGGUGUCCCCAUCAUGAAGUGGAAGAAGUUAACCAGCAUGGCAAGAGUAAAGGCUUAAGCUAGAGGCCCUUUCCUUUACUUAGUCUUGGCUGCAGCCCAGAGAGGGACUAUUUUGGAAGAAGCAGGUUUUCUGCGCCAUGCAUCAUUCUGGACGGUGUCAGGGCUGCAGGUUCAGGGAGGAGGAGCAGAGCUUGCCCUCCCGCUCUAAACAGCAAGGUGCAUACCUCUGCCCAGGAUUGCGUGGGGUGGUUGGAGCAGCAGUGACAGAGAGGAGGUGCCAGCAUGAAACUGUCUCAUUCCAAGUUUCUGGACUCACACCCUGGUUGGGGACCUUGGACAGAACUCCUGACCUCUGUGAAGCCUCAGUUGCUCCACCUGUGUAGUACGCCUACCACAGUAUCAACCACAGAGUGGUGCUUUAAGACUUACAUGAGAUGCAGGGUGCAAAGGGGCAAGCCUGGGGCGUGGCGCAGGCUCGAUGACUGUUAACUAUGAUGACGAGGACAACCAGCAUGAGGAACAAGCCAAGAGCCCACACCUCUCCCCUGCAUGUGAGCCUGUGAAUCUGUCAGAUCAGCCAGGCACAAGCCAGGCCAGGCCAUGGUGCUGUGGCCACCGGGGAUGUGGCUCAGCAGCCCUGGGCAAGCACCUCCUUCUGUUAAGGAAACAUCCGUGUGGCAUGGCCGGCAGAUGCCCCGGCUGUGGG